RNAcentral lists this ribosomal RNA (116 nucleotides) under Oscillospiraceae bacterium. Lineage: Bacteria; Bacillati; Bacillota; Clostridia; Eubacteriales; Oscillospiraceae. The record is from RNAcentral. RNAcentral also lists the same sequence under 1 other name.
GUUGGUAUUGAUUGCAGCGAGGGUCCACCUGUUCCCAUCCCGAACACAGAAGUUAAGCUCGUUUGCGCCGACAAUACUUGGCGGGUGACUGCCCGGGAAGAUAGGUAAUGCCAACA